Molecule: ribosomal RNA, 253 nt
Filed under: uncultured bacterium
Lineage: Bacteria
Description: partial 16S ribosomal RNA
Rfam family: Bacterial small subunit ribosomal RNA
Source: RNAcentral
CACGUAGGGCGCAAGCGUUGUCCGGAAUUAUUGGGCGUAAAGAGCUCGUAGGCGGUCUGUUGCGUCCGCUGUGAAAACUCGGGGCUUAACCCCGAGCCUGCAGUGGAUACGGGCAGACUAAAGGUAGGUAGGGGAGAAUGGAAUUCCCGGUGUAGCGGUGAAAUGCGCAGAUAUCGGGAGGAACACCGGUGGCGAAGGCGGUUCCCUGGGCCUUACCUGACGCUGAGGAGCGAAAGCGUGGGGAGCGAACAGG